UACGUAGGCAGCGAGCGUUGUUCGGAGUUACUGGGCGUAAAGGGUGUGUAGGCGGUUGGUUAAGUUUGGUGUGAAAUCUCCCGGCUCAACUGGGAGGGUGCGCCGAAUACUGAAUGACUUGGAGUGCGGGAGAGGAGAGUGGAAUUCCUGGUGUAGCGGUGAAAUGCGUAGAUAUCGGGAGGAACACCUGUGGCGAAAGCGGCGCACUGGACCACAUCUGACGCUGAGGCGCGAAAGCUAGGGGAGCAAACAGG
Molecule: ribosomal RNA, 254 nt
Filed under: uncultured bacterium
Lineage: Bacteria
Description: partial 16S ribosomal RNA
Rfam family: Bacterial small subunit ribosomal RNA
Source: RNAcentral